Molecule: ribosomal RNA, 483 nt
Filed under: uncultured bacterium
Lineage: Bacteria
Description: bacterial LSU rRNA
Rfam family: Bacterial large subunit ribosomal RNA
Source: RNAcentral
AGUGGGGGUAGACGCGAAACCGUGUGAUCUAUCCAUGGGCAGGUUGAAGGUUGGAUAAUCUCUAACUGGAGGACCGAACUGGUGAAUGUUGAAAAAUUCUCGGAUGACCUGUGGAUAGGGGGUGAAAGGCCAAUCAAACUCGGAGAUAGCUCGUACUCCCCGAAAUGCAUUUAGGUGCAGCGUCGUGUAGUGAUUGUUGGAGGUAAAGCUACUGAGAAGGCUAGGGGGCUUCACCGCCUACCAACCCUUAACAAACUCUGAAUGCCAACAAUUAGCAGCGGCAGUGAGCCCCAGGGUGCGAAGGUCAUGGGGCGAGAGGGGAACAACCCAGACCAUCAGCUAAGGUCCCUAAAUAUAGUUAAGUUGCAUUAAACGAGGUGGGAAUGCAGUGACAGCUAGGAUGUUUGCUUGGAAGCAGCAAUUCAUUUAAAGAGUGCGUAACAGCUCACUAGUCGAGCGUUCCUGCGCGGAAAAUAAGCGGGC